RNAcentral lists this ribosomal RNA (450 nucleotides) under uncultured bacterium. RNAcentral describes it as "partial 16S ribosomal RNA". It matches the Rfam family "Bacterial small subunit ribosomal RNA", at positions 354 to 796 of the family's 1533-position model. The record is from RNAcentral.
GUGGGGAAUAUUGGACAAUGGGCGAAAGCCUGAUCCAGCAAUGCCGCGUGCAGGAAGAAGGCCUUCGGGUUGUAAACUGCUUUUGUACGGAACGAAACGGUCCGGGUUAAUACCCUGGGCUAAUGACGGUACCGUAAGAAUAAGCACCGGCUAACUACGUGUCAGCAGCCGCGGUAAUACGUAGGGUGCAAGCGUUAAUCGGAAUUACUGGGCGUAAAGCGUGCGCAGGCGGUUUUGUAAGACAGGCGUGAAAUCCCCGGGCUCAACCUGGGAAUUGCGCUUGUGACUGCAAGGCUGGAGUGCGGCAGAGGGGGAUGGAAUUCCGCGUGUAGCAGUGAAAUGCGUAGAUAUGCGGAGGAACACCGAUGGCGAAGGCAAUCCCCUGGGCCUGCACUGACGCUCAUGCACGAAAGCGUGGGGAGCAAACAGGAUUAGAUACCCUAGUAGUCC